Molecule: ribosomal RNA, 253 nt
Filed under: uncultured bacterium
Lineage: Bacteria
Description: partial 16S ribosomal RNA
Rfam family: Bacterial small subunit ribosomal RNA
Source: RNAcentral
UACGUGGGGUGCGAGCGUUGUCCGGAAUUAUUGGGCGUAAAGAGCUUGUAGGCGGUUUGUCGCGUCUGCCGUGAAAAUUCGAGGCUCAACCUCGAACUUGCGGUGGGUACGGGCAGACUAGAGUGUGGUAGGGGAGACUGGAAUUCCUGGUGUAGCGGUGAAAUGCGCAGAUAUCAGGAGGAACACCGAUGGCGAAGGCAGGUCUCUGGGCCACUACUGACGCUGAGAAGCGAAAGCAUGGGGAGCGAACAGG